AAGCAUACCGGAAAGCCAGGGAACUGUGACACACCACAUUCCAGCAGCGUUUGCCCUCUCAUCACGCUCCGUUUGGAUGCGCCACUGGCUCCUCGCCUGGGCAACUGGCAGCUUUCCUGGGAGAGUGUUGAAAUGUCUGCCCUGCAUUCUGGCCAGCGAGGACUGGUCUUCAGGGAUGUUUUGGGGCCUAUUCUUCUAUGUGCGGGAAUCUUAACUGGUUCAUCCACUCCACUGUUAUGGUUUCAGUGACUGUUUUUCUCAAUGUUUUACCACCUGCUGAGGAGGAUUCUUUUUGCAGCUUGUCGAUGAGACGUCCAGGAGGACCAUCCCAGGGCAGUUCAACAGCUCCUCCUGUCCCUUCGCCAUGUAGCCAGCUGAGAAAAAGUCUUCACUGAAAAGAGGUCUCUGCACCAAUUUUCAUUUGUCACAGUGAUAGAAGAGCAAUCACUGAACUUGAUGAAAUUCAGCUACCCUUCAACUGUAGAGAAACCAUCACUCAAAGCUGUCAUCCAAGAGGUAAUUAUGUACUUCUGAAUGGAGAAGACAAAGCGAGAUGAGUCAAUUCCACUUGUGUGAGAGCCAUCUUACAUAUGGAGUGCUUGAAUGACUGCUGCUUACAUCUCUGAGGAAAACUGAGAACUAGCAUGAGUAACAAGUGCUGGAAAGUGAAGUCAACAGUGGUGAGAUUCAUCUCAUCUACUUUAAUAUGUCCAAGAUAGCCAUAAGAGAGCCAUCCAAGAGCUCUAAAGAGCCACCUGGGAGAAAGAGAUGUCUCCAGAGAGUACCUGAAG
This is a long non-coding RNA of Dromaius novaehollandiae (emu), 791 nucleotides long. RefSeq lists it as uncharacterized. NCBI's taxonomy places the organism in Eukaryota, Metazoa, Chordata, Aves, Casuariiformes, Dromaiidae. The record is from RefSeq and is a predicted model, not a curated record. The transcript is spliced from 5 exons.